CUUGUAUACAAGGGCGGUCACAGAACGCUCACACCAGAGUGGGGGCCCUGUGAUCAGCGCCCUGUUACCGCUCUGGUCUUUAUUUAUAUACAAAGCAAUACAACAGUGAAUACGUCUAUUCAUAGGCAGAGGAAUGUUAGUGCGUAGGGAGUGAAGAUAAGAGUGGUUCAGGUGUAUGUGUGUGUGUUGUGAGAUUCAGAAAGACGCGGCCCCUCUUCUUGUUAGAGAGCGCAGAUAAAAGUGUCCAGCUCUCCUCUUCCUGCUUGUUCAGCUAUUAUCGCUGUGAGAAAGAAUUUAUAAAACAGUCGUGUAGUGGACAACAGUCUAAGUCAUCAAAAGGUCAACAUACAGUAUUCUAUCAUAUGCAAACUUAUAUCAUUAAAAGCUUAUACUGCUAAGUACAAUUUUCCAUUGACAUUCCCUCCUGUUGUCAGUAUAACUUUCAAGUGAGAUAUCAGUAUGUAACAUCUUGUUGUACAGUUCCUAUCACACCAUCAUUAAUCACACAAAGUCUUCAUGUUCCAACAGGUCGGGGUCAUCAUCAUCAUCAUUUGUCACGGCUAUGUAUGCAGCAACAGUGGAAACAAUUAUACGGUUAAUCAUGAGUUUUAGACAUGGCAGGAUACAUGUUACAAAAACACAAAAUAAAAGUGAAAAUACAAAAAGGGAUAAAUGGAAUAAAUAAGAAUAAGAAUACAAAGGAAUUGCAAGUAUUUCAAGUAUUUCAAGUAUUGAAGUCUAGUGCACCGUUGGUUUUUAACAAAAAGUAUUGCACAGUGAGAAGGCAGUAGUAGUCUUUUUAGCAGUCACUUGUAUUACUUACAUAGUCCUGAUUUUGGGCCUGCUUGAUCUGUCUCAAGGCGUUCAGGGCAUCAGUCAUGUUUGAUGAGUGUACAUUGUCUGAUGUGUGUGUGUGUCAUUUCUCACUCAAUCAACAAGUGCACGUCUGUUCAGGUGUGUGUUUCUCUUCAUUCUGAGUCAGUGUGUGUAGAUGUGUAUGUUAGUGUAUGUUGGCGUGUUUAUCACUUUCCUGUUCUGGUGUUUUGGGUAAACCACGGCCUGAAGCGUGCCCUGGGGUCCUGCCCUCCUCCUUUUCAGUCCGGUUGCGACCAUUGCUGCUGCUGCUCAUAGUUCAGUCUGUCCUGGUCCUGGCCCCAAUUGGGGCAGUCCUUUCUCCAGUGUCCAUGCUCACCGCAGGUGAAACCUGCAUCUUCUUCUGUGUUUUGUCCAUUCUGAGGUGCCUUUUGACCUCAGUUGCUCCUCCUGUCUCUGGCACGCCCUUUCUUCUGCUGCCCGAUCAUCCGUGUUGGUCCGUCACUGUCCUGUACAGUGUUAAUGCAGGGUUAUCAAGGUCAGCAUUCUUUUGCUCGGCCUUACUUUUCAUUCGGGCUUAAUGGGCGUCUCGUCACAGCUCUGUCAGCUGAAGCUGUCUGGGAAUUUUCCCCCGUGUAGUGAAAUGGGCCUUGAGUUUAGUGCUCUCCGUCUCUGCUGCAUGAGAUCCUUUUCCUGCAGCACUGUUGACAUUUUCAGGUUGUUGUUAUGGGUCUAGCUGCUGCAGCAUUUGGUCAGGGUCACGUCAAAGAUGGUAGAGGGGAGAGCAGGAGUCCAGGUCAGCCUCGGCUUUCAGGACCGGCAAAGCAGCCUGUAAUUAAACAUAAAGAGAAAAAACAAAAACAAAACAAAAAACCGACGAACAGGGAAAUGAUGUUGUAUUGGCUGUGUUAUUCAGAGAGGGGAGAAACACCGGGCCAGGCCCUGUGUCAGCCUUCUCUCCCCCUUUUUUU
Long non-coding RNA from Oreochromis aureus, 1784 nucleotides. The record is from Ensembl. NCBI's taxonomy places the organism in Eukaryota, Metazoa, Chordata, Actinopteri, Cichliformes, Cichlidae.